This 707-nucleotide ribosomal RNA is filed under the name Glomeromycotina sp. OTU25 DJMC-2012. RNAcentral's name for it is "eukaryotic LSU rRNA". It matches the Rfam family "Eukaryotic large subunit ribosomal RNA", at positions 48 to 657 of the family's 3401-position model. Lineage: Eukaryota; Fungi; Glomeromycota. The record is from RNAcentral.
AAGCGGAGGAAAAGAAACUAACAAGGAUUCCCCUAGUAACGGCGAGUGAAGCGGGAACAGCUCAAAUUUUAAAUCUGGCUGCCUUCGCAGUCCGAGUUGUAAUUUGAAGGCGUCUGUCGCAUGUGAGACGAUGGCACAAGUCCUCUGGAACGUGGCAUCGUAGAGGGUGAGAAUCCCGUCUCUGGUCGUUGUCUUGCAGGCACACGGCAGGCGAUCCGAAGAGUCGAGUUGUUUGGGAUUGCAGCUCCAAAUGGGUGGUAAACUCCAUCUAAGGCUAAAUAUUGGCGAGAGACCGAUAGCGAACAAGUACCGUGAGGGAAAGAUGAAAAGAACUUUGAAAAGAGAGUAAAACAGUACGUGAAAUUGUUGAAAGGGAAACGCUUGAAGUCAGUCGUGCCGGCGGGGAUUCAGCGAACUUCGCGGAGUGAGCGUAUUUCCUCGCAUGGCAGGUCAGCGUCAGUUUUGCGCGUCGUGAAAGGGCUCGGGUAAGGUGACUCUCUUCGGGGAGUGUUAUAGGCCUGAGCAGAUGCGAUGCGCGGGACUGAGGAUUGCAGCGGACACCCUUCGGGGCGCGGCGACCGAUCCCUGCUCUGUCACCUUCGUCCGAUAGCGUGCUAACGGUCGGGGGAGCGGCGGUUGCACCGGGUUGGCAAGCCGGCGGCUUCGCUAAGGAUGCUGGCGUAAUGGCUUUAAACGACCCGUCUUGA